AUGUUAUCAGUCACACUUUUUGUUGGUCGAUUUGACAUGCGUAUGUUGCAGGCUGCUAUUAACAAAGGUCCAGACGAAUCUAAGAGCAGCGACCUUUUAUACGAUCAUCUAGAUGGAAAAGACGAACUUCUGUUUGACUUCAUUGCUGAUGCCGGCGAUGGUGACUUCAUUGCUCAACCUUCUUUAGUCGUAAAAUCUGAUGAUUUCAGGCUUAUACUUCCUCGUGGACAACUACUACUUAUUGGUGGAAACCUCGCAUAUCCAAAUCCAUGCUCGUUUACAUAUGAGCAGCGUUUUUUCUGCCCUUUUGAGUAUGCUCUCCAGCCUCCUGCUUGUAUUGUGAGGAGAGCUAUGCAAAUAAGGAUGACAAAAGCUGCUCCACAACAUGGGCUUAGCCCCAGCCUCUGUACGUAUGUGUCUCCAGUCACAUUGGAUGAGCAUGAGCCGGGUACGGACGCGCUUCCGUGCUCCGCUGCAGAUGUCCCUCAGGACUCGUGUAGGAUACACCGAGUUUUAGCACCACAAAGAUAUCCUCCAAGUAAGCCGAGUCGUGGAUAUGCUCGUCGAUUUUGUCUUUGGUUAAAUAGCAUCAUGUAA
RNAcentral lists this ribosomal RNA (597 nucleotides) under Triticum aestivum (bread wheat). Its description in RNAcentral is "partial small subunit ribosomal RNA". The record is from RNAcentral. Lineage: Eukaryota; Viridiplantae; Streptophyta; Magnoliopsida; Poales; Poaceae.